UAUGCCUACCUUACGUCAAACAUGACAUUAAGUCCAUGACACAGACUAUUUCAUUUAAUCUUCAUUUAAGCCUAAGAGGAAUGAGCCCCUUUACAGAGAGAGACUGAGGCUAAGAGAAAAUGAGUAAUCUCAUUCAAAGCCCCAUGGAGACAAAUUCUAAUUUCUAGAAUUAGAAAUUAAACCCAGACCCAUACCCCUGGGUCUUACUACCUUCUGAGUGGAGUAGAAGGAAAUCUGUUUAAAACACAGAUGCAAAAGCCAGAUGGUGAAGGAACUUGGAUGCCAGAAGGAGUUUCAGAUUUCCUUGGACAGUAAUGGUUAGGAGUGGAGAAGGGUCUGAAAAGGGUUAAACAAAGCAUUAAUAAGCUCUCUCAUUUAACCUUUGUCUUACAGCCCUGUAACUACGCAAACAACACAAAUUAUUCUCCCUCAUCCCAGAUAACCAUCUCCUGUACCUUCCUUAAUUCUACAGAUCACUCAAGAUAAAGGAGUCAUUAGCUUGAGGCUGAUGUGGCAGCUGCCCAAUUCCCUGCGCCUGGCAAAAGUUUCAUGUGGAAAAUCUACAUCUGCAUGACGCAGGCAAACCCAGGAGUUGGAAGCCAAACACAAUUGUUAACUAUUCACAAUCAAUAAGACAAAUUUUCAAACUUCAUUUCUCUUGGAAUAAGGAAACCUGGGUGAAAGAGAGCCCUGGAAGGCAAUGAGCAGCUGGUAGGAAACAACUACACAAGACCAAGGGAAUCUUGCAGCUGUCCAGUUGGAAACAAAUUGUAUGUAAAGACUACCUCAACUAAAAGCCACAGAACAGAUUUUCCUCACUAUUUGACUAUAGGAGGAAAACAGACCUUUAUGGAGCUAAAGAAUCUUGAGAGAGAUGGGAAAUUGACUCUAAGCACCAUCCAUAAAUACCCUAGAGUCUGCUACUGAAUCCAUGGAUUGGAUUAAGCUACAAUCAAGAACAAGUAUAGUAGCGAUAGGAGUCUGUGUGUAAGUAAAUCAAUAAAUAGACAAAACAUCUGUGGUUUGUAUA
This 1030-nucleotide long non-coding RNA is filed under the name Bos indicus x Bos taurus (hybrid cattle). Its description in RNAcentral is "lncRNA (ENSBIXG00000028554.1)". Lineage: Eukaryota; Metazoa; Chordata; Mammalia; Artiodactyla; Bovidae. The record is from RNAcentral.